GGAGUGGAGGUCCGAACCGAUAAGCGUUGAAAAGCUUCCGGAUGAGCUGUGGGUAGGGGUGAAAGGCUAAUCAAACUGGGAAAUAGCUCGUACUCCCCGAAAUGCCUUUAGGGGCAGCGUAGAGGUAAAGUUUUAUAGAGGUAGAGCUACUGAUUGGAUGCGGGGGAAGCGAUUCCUACCAAGUCCUGACAAACUCCGAAUGCUAUAAAAUAUACUCUGCAGUGAGCCGGCGGGUGCUAAGGUCCGUCGACGAAAGAGAGAGAACUCAGACCAACAGCUAAGGUCCCCAAAUCUAUACUAAGUUGAUAUAACGUGGUGCGACUGCAUUGACAGCCAGGAUGUUUGCUUGGAAGCAGCCAUUCAUUUAAAGAGUGCGUAACAGCUCACUGGUCGAGCGGUCGUGCGUGGAUGAUACUCGGGCAUCAAGUAUAGUACCGAAGCUUCGGACUUAAAUUUAUUUAAGUGGUAGGGGAGCAUUCUAACUGCGUAGAAGAAGUUGCGUGAGCGCUAUUGGAGCGGUUAGAGAAGCAAAUGUAGGCAUAAGUAACGAUAAAGCAGGCGAGAAACCUGUUCGCCGAUAGACUAGGGUUUCCUGAACAACGAUAAUCGGUUCAGGGUCAGUCGGGACCUAAGGUGAAGCCGAAGGGCGUAAUCGAUGGACAACAGGUUAAUAUUCCUGUACUUGUAUCACUGCGAUGGAGAGACGAAGACGCGUAAGGUCAGCGAACUGACGGAAUAGUUCGUUUAAGUGCGUAGGUUUAGGUUAUGUAGGCAAAUCCGCAUAGCUUCUGAAACACGAAAGUACCCAGAGUCGUCAGACAACGGGAUUGACCCCAAGCAUACUUCCAAGAAAAUCUUCUAAGCUUCAGGUGAAUACAACCCGUACCGCAAACCGACACAGGUAGUCAAGUAGAAUAUACUAAGGCGCUCGAGUGAUCCGCGGCUAAGGAACUAGGCAAAUUAACCCUGUAACUUCGGGAAAAAGGGUGCCCCCAGCAAUGGGGGCCGCAGAGAAAUGGCGGUGGCGACUGUUUAACAAAAACACAGGGCUUUGCAAAACUGAAAGGUGAAGUAUAAGGCCUGACACCUGCCCGGUGCCGGAAGGUUAAGAGGAGAGGUUAGCGUAAGCGAAGCUUUGAAUUGAAGCCCCGGUAAACGGCGGCCGUAACGAUAACGGUCCUAAGGUAGCGAAAUUCCUUGUCGGGUAAGUUCCGACCUGCACGAAUGGUGUAACGAUCUCCGCACUGUCUCAGCCGCGAGCUCGGUGAAAUUGUGGUAUCAGUGAAGACGCUGAUUACCCGCAACGGGACGGAAAGACCCCAUGCACCUUUACUAUAGUUUAACAUUGAUUUCGGGUAAGUGAUGUCU
This 1368-nucleotide ribosomal RNA is filed under the name metagenome. Its description in RNAcentral is "bacterial LSU rRNA". It matches the Rfam family "Bacterial large subunit ribosomal RNA", at positions 763 to 2139 of the family's 2925-position model. The record is from RNAcentral.